Long non-coding RNA from Wyeomyia smithii (pitcher-plant mosquito), 553 nucleotides. RefSeq lists it as uncharacterized. The transcript has 3 exons. NCBI's taxonomy places the organism in Eukaryota, Metazoa, Arthropoda, Insecta, Diptera, Culicidae. The record is from RefSeq and is a predicted model, not a curated record.
AAUACCAGCAAUAAAUUUCGUCAUCAAAUGGGAGGCCGUCAAAACGUCAUCGCACUCUUCCGGGAUUAGAGCACAAAUUUGGCAAGCAAAAGGCAAUCGCACGUUUAGCUUCAGGUUCAAGUGAAUCGAAAUUCGAGAAUCAACGGAUACACUGAGAUAAUCGCACGUCACUGGUGAAGUGAACGUGUCACAAGUAAAUCGGAAUCAACGGAACUUACAACAACUCAAAGACAAUCGCGCACACUGCACGGAGUGAACUUUCCUCCAACUGAAGCAGGAUCUAUUUGUUGCAAUCAUUAGGCUUGCAAACGAAGACAGCCGAACAGAAAACGCUCGUUCGAAAUUGGCUCGUUCAAAACCUAAGGUGGCCCCGUAAAGGGGUUCUUUUGCUCAAUUUUGAUUCCGGCUCAGGAGGUGUUCACGUGAACACGCGAGGACGAGAGAAGCUUUCCAGCGAAUUGAGGAGUCCCUCUGGAUAGCGAACGGGAAAGCGGACUGCGCAAAGACACAUGGAACGGCCUCCCGGACACCAAACAUAGUAGCACUGCUGUGA